RNAcentral lists this ribosomal RNA (253 nucleotides) under uncultured bacterium. RNAcentral's name for it is "partial 16S ribosomal RNA". It matches the Rfam family "Bacterial small subunit ribosomal RNA", at positions 524 to 776 of the family's 1533-position model. The record is from RNAcentral.
UACGUAGGGUGCAAGCGUUCAUCGGAAUUACUGGGCGUAAAGCGUGCGCAGGCGGUUAUGCAAGACAGAUGUGAAAUCCCCGGGCUCAACCUGGGAACUGCAUUUGUGACUGCAUGGCUAGAGUACGGUAGAGGGGGAUGGAAUUCCGCGUGUAGCAGUGAAAUGCGUAGAUAUGCGGAGGAACACCGAUGGCGAAGGCAAUCCCCUGGACCUGUACUGACGCUCAUGCACGAAAGCGUGGGGAGCAAACAGG